RNAcentral lists this ribosomal RNA (351 nucleotides) under uncultured bacterium. RNAcentral describes it as "partial 16S ribosomal RNA". It matches the Rfam family "Bacterial small subunit ribosomal RNA", at positions 338 to 704 of the family's 1533-position model. The record is from RNAcentral.
CCUACGGGAGGCAGCAGUGGGGAAUAUUGGGCAAUGGGCGCAAGCCUGACCCAGCAACGCCGCGUGAAGGAAGAAGGCUUUCGGGUUGUAAACUUCUUUUAAGAGGGAAGAGCAGAAGACGGUACCUCUUGAAUAAGCCACGGCUAACGACGUGCCAGCAGCCGCGGUAAUACGUAGGUGGCAAGCGUUGUCCGGAUUUACUGGGGGUAAAGGGCGUGCAGCCGGGAAGAGCAGUCAGAUGGGCAAUCCCGCGGCUCACCCGCGGAACUGCCUUUGAAACUGUUUUUCUUGAGUACCGGAGAGGUCAUCGGCCUUCCUUUUGUCGCGCUGAACUGCGUCGAUAUACGGAAG